UGCGUAGGCGGUGCGGUAAGUCUGUUGUGAAAUCUCCGGGCUCAACUCGGAGUCUGCAACGGAAACUGCCGUGCUGGAGUAUGGGAGAGGUGAGUGGAGUUCCCGGUGUAGCGGUGAAAUGCGUAGAUAUCGGGAGGAACACCUGUGGCGAAAGCGGCUCACUGGACCAUUACUGACGCUGAUGCACGAAAGCUAGGGGAGCAAACAGGAUUAGAUACCCUGGUAGUCCUAGCCCUAAACGAUGAUCGCUUGGUGUGACAGGUACCCAAUCCUGUCGUGCCGGAGCUAACGCGUUAAGCGAUCCGCCUGGGGAGUACGGUCGCAAGGCUGAA
RNAcentral lists this ribosomal RNA (332 nucleotides) under uncultured bacterium. RNAcentral's name for it is "bacterial SSU rRNA". It matches the Rfam family "Bacterial small subunit ribosomal RNA", at positions 568 to 898 of the family's 1533-position model. The record is from RNAcentral.